GGGCGUGUCGGCCUUGGAAUCUGCCGUCGGGGCGACUUUCGGUUUCGUCGCGGGGGCGAGACCUGACCAUCAGUCGGGGGCCUGCUAGAUUCGGCGGGGUCCCAACCCUUCCUUCGCUUUUCCUUCAGACCCUUGAACUCGGUUGAGCGCCGGUCGGAGGCUCCUUCGUCCGCGCGCAUAUACUUGUACGCGCGCUCCAGCAAUUCGGCAUAUGUACGGGGGAGGGUCUUGUCCAGGGAGUAGGUGAAUCGAGAUGCCCUCAGCCCC
This 267-nucleotide long non-coding RNA is filed under the name Elaeis guineensis (African oil palm). RNAcentral's name for it is "long non-coding RNA (EGUI_LNC081928)". The record is from RNAcentral. Lineage: Eukaryota; Viridiplantae; Streptophyta; Magnoliopsida; Arecales; Arecaceae.